Molecule: transfer RNA, 72 nt
Filed under: Helicobacter macacae MIT 99-5501
Lineage: Bacteria; Pseudomonadati; Campylobacterota; Epsilonproteobacteria; Campylobacterales; Helicobacteraceae
Rfam family: tRNA
About the family: Transfer RNA (tRNA) molecules are approximately 80 nucleotides in length.
Source: Rfam by way of RNAcentral
GGUUCUGUAGCUCAGUGGUAGAGCACUACCUUGACAUGGUAGGGGUCGUUGGUUCAAAUCCAAUCAGAGCCA